Molecule: ribosomal RNA, 616 nt
Filed under: uncultured Legionella sp.
Lineage: Bacteria; Pseudomonadati; Pseudomonadota; Gammaproteobacteria; Legionellales; Legionellaceae
Description: bacterial SSU rRNA
Rfam family: Bacterial small subunit ribosomal RNA
Source: RNAcentral
UAGCUAGUUGGUGGGGUAAGGGCUUACCAAGGCGACGAUCGGUAGCUGGUCUGAGAGGAUGACCAGCCACACUGGAACUGAGACACGGUCCAGACUCCUACGGGAGGCAGCAGUGGGGAAUAUUGGACAAUGGGGGCAACCCUGAUCCAGCAAUGCCGCGUGUGUGAAGGAGGCCUGAGGGUUGUAAAGCACUUUCAGUGGGGAGGAGGGUUGAUAGGUUAAGAGCUGAUUAACUGGACGUUACCCACAGAAGAAGCACCGGCUAACUCCGUGCCAGCAGCCGCGGUAAUACGGAGGGUGCGAGCGUUAAUCGGAAUUACUGGGCGUAAAGGGUGCGUAGGUGGUUGAUUAAGUUAUCUGUGAAAUUCCUGGGCUUAACCUGGGACGGUCAGAUAAUACUGGUUGACUCGAGUAUGGGAGAGGGUAGUGGAACUUCCGGUGUAGCGGUGAAAUGCGUAGAGAUCGGAAGGAACACCAGUGGCGAAGGCGGCUACCUGGCCUAAUACUGACACUGAGGCACGAAAGCGUGGGGAGCAAACAGGAUUAGAUACCCUGGUAGUCCACGCUGUAAACGAUGUCAACUAGCUGUUGGUUAUAUGAAAAUAAUUAGUGGCGC